RNAcentral lists this ribosomal RNA (809 nucleotides) under uncultured Pelagibacteraceae bacterium. Its description in RNAcentral is "bacterial SSU rRNA". It matches the Rfam family "Bacterial small subunit ribosomal RNA", at positions 34 to 891 of the family's 1533-position model. The record is from RNAcentral. Lineage: Bacteria; Pseudomonadati; Pseudomonadota; Alphaproteobacteria; Candidatus Pelagibacterales; Candidatus Pelagibacteraceae.
CGCUGGCGGCACGCCUAACACAUGCAAGUCGAACGAAGUAGCAAUACUUAGUGGCAGACGGGUGAGUAACAUGUAGGUAUCUACCCUUUGGCCUGGAAUAACACGAGGAAACUUGUGCUAAUACCGGAUAAGUCUUUACGGAGAAAGCUUUAUGCACCAUUGGAUGAGCCUGCACUUGAUUAGUUUGUUGGUAGGGUAAUGGCCUACCAAGACUGUGAUCAAUAGCUGAUUUGAGAGGAUGAUCAGCCACAUUGGGACUGAGACACGGCCCAAACUCCUACGGGAGGCAGCAGUGGGGAAUCUUGCACAAUGGAGGAAACUCUGAUGCAGCGAUGCCGCGUGAGUGAAGAAGGCCCUUGGGUUGUAAAGCUCUUUCGUCGGGGAAGAAAAUGACUGUACCCGAAUAAGAAGGUCCGGCUAACUUCGUGCCAGCAGCCGCGGUAAUACGAAGGGACCUAGCGUAGUUCGGAAUUACUGGGCUUAAAGAGUUCGUAGGUGGUUGAAAAAGUUGGUGGUGAAAUCCCAGAGCUUAACUCUGGAACUGCCAUCAAAACUUUUCAGCUAGAGUUUGAUAGAGGAAAGCAGAAUUUCUAGUGUAGAGGUGAAAUUCGUAGAUAUUAGAAAGAAUACCAAUUGCGAAGGCAGCUUUCUGGAUCAUUACUGACACUGAGGAACGAAAGCAUGGGUAGCGAAGAGGAUUAGAUACCCUCGUAGUCCAUGCCGUAAACGAUGUGUGUUAGACGUUGGAAAUUUAUUUUCAGUGUCGCAGCGAAAGCAAUAAACACACCGCCUGGGGAGUACGACCGCAA